This 970-nucleotide long non-coding RNA is filed under the name Salmo trutta (river trout). RNAcentral's name for it is "lncRNA (ENSSTUG00000007441.1)". The record is from RNAcentral. Lineage: Eukaryota; Metazoa; Chordata; Actinopteri; Salmoniformes; Salmonidae.
GUAUAUCUACUGUUAUCUACUGUUAACCUGACAGCUACGGUAUAUCUACUGUUAUCUACUGUUCACCUGACAGCUACGGUAUAUCUACUGUUAUCUACUGUUCACCUGACAGCUACGUAUAUCUACUGUUAUCUACUGUUAUCUACUGUUCACACACAUACCAACUCGUGGAUAUUGACAGCUAUAACAAUAACACUACAAACGACAUUAUAUUCCUCCCUCCUGUCCUCAGUUCCAGUGCCAGUGUGUGGAUCAAACAGUGCGGAGUCACUAGAGGCCGUCUGUGUCCUGACCACAGAGAGACAGAGCUCUACGCUGGAGAAAGAACAGCUACUGAGGGGACAGAUCACCUGUGGUCAGUAUCUGUACUGUCAUUCCAGGACGUCACCUAUCACUUCAGAGUGGCCAAGUCUGUGAGUAUUGCAUUUAAAUACGUUUUAAACCAUUUCAAAUCCAUAUAAAAGUUGCUUCCUCUAAACUUGACCUCUGUCCUCUUCUCCUUCUGGCAGAGUGAAGUGAGAUGUGGCGUAUCCACGACAUCGCCAUUCUCUGACUACUACUUCCUCAUUCAAAGCAGCUGCUCAUGAGAGGAGAGAAAACUAAGCAUGCAAACUAGUAUUCUGCUUUGAACGUAUCUCUUGACUGACCCAGGAUAUCUUAACUACUACACCUCCUAUCCCAUCCCUCUCUCACUCUCUCUCUCUCUCUGGCUCCUUCCUUCCAAUAGGGGAUCGAAAAACGAUUUGUUCUGCUCUCAAACUUAUGAGAGAGGCAUGAAUGUGGGACUGUAUCCACCACAGCUCCGAUAACUUACAUGAUGUGAUACGCAAGUCUAUCAUGAUGAUAUAGACUUACAGAGCAUUCGGAGAGUAUUCAGACCCCUUGACUUUUUACAUAUUUUACCACAUUUUACAUAAGUAUUCAGACCCUUUACUCAGAACUUUGUUGAAGCACCUUUGGCAGCGAUUAC